CCAGGACAGUGGAGAGAUGGACAGCCACAAGGACAGCCUCCUUUAGAUUGUGGGAUGGAGCCGGCACCUCUGAGGGGAUGAGAUUUACACGGAGACCAAAGGGACGCAGCUGCUUGCAGAAUGGGAGAAAGAGAAGCUGAAGCCAAGGGAACAUGUACAACGCCUCCAAGACAAGAAAAUCAUGGAGCAGAAGACUCCUCUGGUCUCCAAGGCCAACAGGCUCCCCGUCCUCCGUGGUCCUUAGCUCUGCUGUAGUUUCAAAUACACCUGCAGCUUUCAGCCGCCCACCUCAAACAGGAAUACCAAGUACAGCCUGAAAGGGGUAUUUAUGCCCUCCAGACAACCUUUAAUUUGGAGGGCACAAAUGCAGCCUCCUAUCUGUUAACAGCUUUGGGAGACACCCAGUGUCAGUCUCAGGAGCGCUCAGCAACCCACAGAGUGCUUGCUUUUUGUUGUCUCCUUCUCUGUCCCACUCUCCUCUUUGAUUCCUGCCCAGUCUUCAGCCAUGUCAUUUCAAAGACGCAGGCGUUAAAGGAAUUGAUAAAAGAUCAGAAAUAGAGUAAGCACGGAGAGUCAAACAAGACGGGGUUGGAAUUGUGGGGUGGCGCCAGAGCACAGAGUUGGAGGCCACAGUGAGCAUGUGCCCUCUGUUUCUUGGCAGAGAGCAGGCGCUGUUGGGACAGACACAGUAGGUAGUCCAGGCAGCAGAGAACAGGGCUUCCCACUGUGAGGUUAACUGAGCCGAAGAAAUGAAACGGGCAGUUUGCGAUAUAUUUAAAAGCAGGAUGGCUGACACUUGCUUAUUAAUUGGCUGAAAAAAAAAAAAAAAAAAAAAAGCAGAGGGAGGACCAGCGAUGAUUUUUUGUUUGAGGAACUGAAUGGAUGGCAGUAGCCUGAGAGUGGAAGGAACAAGAUUGGGCAGAAGUCCAGCAUGCUGGAAUCUCCCAAGAUCCCAGACCCCUAAGUGAGCUCACACCUUAGGAGAAUUCACCGUAGGUGUGCUUUGUCUUACUCUGCCUCUAGGCAUUCCAGGCCCAUUACCUGGGUCCAGGACGCUGGAAACUGUUGCUGGGGAAUCCUGAGAUGAAGAUGUUGAACUCUCAGCUCCUCCUGCACCAUGCCUGCCUGGAUGCUGCCAUGUUCCUGCCUUGAUGAUAAUGGACUGAGCCUCUGAACCUACAGGGUUUCUCCACACAGCCCUGGCUGUUUGGGAACUUAGAUAUUCCCCCGCCACUGCCUCUUCAUCUGCUGGGAUUAACGUGGGAACUGCCCCGCUCACCUUGUGUCCUGCGUUUUAAGUGAUGUGCUUCUCUCUUCAGGAUUCUGUUUUGGGGGUGUCAGCUAUACUGUGACCAGAAUCUGGGAGCACUUAGAUGCUGGGUGGUCCUGGCUCGGGCCUUUGUCUAAAGACUUGACAAGCACUGACUGUUGGACUUCCUCUCUGUGACUAGCCAACUGCCUGAAGACUCUCCUGUGCUCUCUUCCUGGGCUGGUUGAACUUCCUCUAAGGAGUGUGGGUGGCUCCCCUCAGUCUGACCCAGCAGCCAGAGAGCUAGAGGGAGUUACAAUGCCUUUUGUGUGCUAAGCACAGUUCUUCAUUUCUACCAUCUUCUACUCAUUAGAAGACCCCUACAUCCAAUCAACAUCCAAGACGAUGGGAAUUCCCCACUGACUUUUGGAGGCUCUGCCUGGGAGGAAGCCAAGCUAAGAUCCAGGUAAAAGAACAGAAUCCUGUCAGGUGUGAAGGAAACUCCAUUUCCUCACACUCCAAAAGGCAGAAGGGGCAAAUGGCUACCUGUGGAACCUAUUAGCAUAUGGUGGCACUUUCUGGCCUCCAGGCUCCUUCAGUAUCACAAGUACCUGUUCGACAUUUCAGAGUCCCCGCUAGCAUCCUAGCCCUCACCUCCUCCCUGCCCUAAACUCCAGCUCACAGGCUCUCCUUCCCACAGCUGCCCAUGCGGCUCAUUAUAACCCUGUAUUUUGACUGUAGGCCAUCUUUUUGUCUUCCUUGCCCCCUCUCUUCCUCUCUCCUCUGUCAUCACCCUCUGCCACCAGGUAGGGCACAUUUCCACUGGGGCUAUGAAUUGUAUAUUUUUCUAUGCAGCACACACCCGUUGAAAGUUCCCUCUGGACACCCCUCAUUCUUUGUCUCCCUGUCUCUCUGUCUAUCUGUCUGAAUCUCUCUCCCCUGCUGUAGUCUCCCCUCCCCCAGCCUGAAACCUGCUUGCUCAGGGGUGGAGCUUCC
Long non-coding RNA from Mus musculus (house mouse), 2245 nucleotides. RefSeq annotates it as predicted gene, 41686. The record is from RefSeq and is a predicted model, not a curated record. The transcript is spliced from 6 exons. Lineage: Eukaryota; Metazoa; Chordata; Mammalia; Rodentia; Muridae.